AAUAAACAUAUAUACACAAUACUGUGAACAAACCAGAGUGUAUAAAACAUGUAAUAUAUUAUAAUAUUUAGCAAUGAAUGUUUUAUCAUGGAAUAUUGCUAUAAUGAAUAUUAAUAUCGAUGGAGAUAGUUGGAGUUAAGAGUACUGAUAGGCGAGCGGUGAAAUGCAUUGACCCUAUUAAGACUAACAAAAGCGAAAGCACUUAACUAGAUUAUUCUCUUUGUAUUAUUUUACAAUGAAGAGCGAAGGUUGGGGGAACAAAGAGGAUCAGAUACCCUCGUAGUCCUAUUUUUACAUCAAACUAUGGGAUUUCAUUCACACUAAACACUAAACAUUAUAAUUAUAAUUAUGAUUGAGUAUAUGUCAAAAUAUUACUCUCAUAUUAAAUAAUUAUUAUAAUAUAUGUUAUAUGUACUUUGAGCUCAUAUAAUUAUAUAGGUGAGAUGUAAGCAUUAUAAAGUGAAUAAUAUACAAGUAAUAUUGUAUUAUUAUGAUCUUUAAAAUAAAAAAUGUAAUGUGAUG
This 522-nucleotide ribosomal RNA is filed under the name Marginopora vertebralis. RNAcentral's name for it is "SSU rRNA". The stretch from base 1 to 379 matches the Rfam family "Eukaryotic small subunit ribosomal RNA", at positions 734 to 1114 of the family's 1831-position model. The record is from RNAcentral. Lineage: Eukaryota; Foraminifera; Miliolida; Soritidae.